UUUUUCUAAUCAGUGAAACUAAUCUCCCCGUGAAGAAGCGGGGAUACUAAUAUAAGACGAGAAGACCCCAUGGAGCUUCAAACCCAACUACACCCCCAACCCCUAUAACUACUAAAUCCUUGAGGACCUGUAUCGUUGGUUUUAGGUUGGGGCGACCACGGAGUACAACAAAACCUCCACAAUGAACGGAAUUAAUUCCUAAUCUAAGAACUACACUUCUAAGAAUUAAAACACUAACACAAAAUGAUCCAUUUUUUGAUUAAUGAACCAAGUUACCCUGGGGAUAACAGCGCAAUCCAUUUCAAGAGCCCCUAUCGACAAAUGGGUUUACGACCUCGAUGUUGGAUCAGGGUAUCCUAGUGGUGCAGCAGCUACUAACGGUUCGUUUGUUCAACGAUUAAAACCCUACGUGAUCU
RNAcentral lists this ribosomal RNA (416 nucleotides) under Mantidactylus betsileanus. RNAcentral describes it as "partial 16S ribosomal RNA". It matches the Rfam family "Bacterial large subunit ribosomal RNA", at positions 2024 to 2606 of the family's 2925-position model. Lineage: Eukaryota; Metazoa; Chordata; Amphibia; Anura; Mantellidae. The record is from RNAcentral.